RNAcentral lists this long non-coding RNA (207 nucleotides) under Panax ginseng (ginseng). RNAcentral's name for it is "long non-coding RNA (PGIN_LNC013284)". The record is from RNAcentral. Lineage: Eukaryota; Viridiplantae; Streptophyta; Magnoliopsida; Apiales; Araliaceae.
AUUUAAUGAAAUUCAUUGGUGAAAUGGUAAGGUUGUUCAUUGUGAUUUAACUGAUGAGGCAUUGAUUAGAUUUUUGUGAGUUUAGUGUUGAAAGUCAUGAUUUGUAUCUUGAAAUCUUUUGACAUAAUGGUUGAAUAAAAAUUUUCUGGAAAUCAAACUUUUGUUUUACACGAGGACGUGUAAAGGCUAAGUGUGGGGGAAUUUGAU